This 1314-nucleotide long non-coding RNA is filed under the name Brassica napus (rape). Its description in RNAcentral is "long non-coding RNA (BNAP_LNC007899)". The record is from RNAcentral. Lineage: Eukaryota; Viridiplantae; Streptophyta; Magnoliopsida; Brassicales; Brassicaceae.
CCUCCGUCUCCAUACGGUGUUCAAACCAGGUUGACUUCUACAUAAUACCAAAUACAUCUAUUCCAAUAUCUAUCUCCCUCUUCACAUCUCCUUCCGCUCCUCUCUACUCCAAUGAACCAUGCCGUGUCUGCAUCUAUCGGACUUGCACCUUCGGUCUCUGUAUCGUGUUCCAUUUGCUAUGUAUUGGUUUCUCAUCAGUUUUAUUUUCUGAUUGUUUUGUGUUUUGAUUCUUCUGUAGAGAAACGAAAAGCAGGAUCUGAAGAAGCUGUGGUGUGGUGUGGAGAUGUCAAAGGAAGGUAGCGGUGGUGGUGGUAAUGGAGCCGAGCAAGAAGAAGAAGAAGAGAAAGGCGGAGAAGAAGAGAAGACAGAGAUGCGAGGAGGAUGGAGUCGGAAGAUGACGACGGCUGCGUAGAUUAGGUUUUGGUUUAUUAGUUUUGGUUUAGUUAGGUGUUGGUUUAAUCUGUUUUAGUUUUUGGUUUAAUGUAUUCUGGUUUAUUAAUUUUUUUUAUCCUGAUUUAGUUUUAUACUUAAUUGAAAUCUAAUUUUAAUUAAUAAAUCAAUUUCAUUUUUAAUUAAAAAAUUAAUUUUCGAUUUUUUUCAUAUUUUUUAUUAAUUAAUUUUAUUUUUUCCUAACUAAUUUGCUAAUUUAUUAUUUUAAAGAAUACGCUUUAUGAAUUUAUAUAUAAUUAAAAACAUUUUUUUAAUCAUGUAAAAUUUAUAUGUUAUGUUAAAUAUUAAAUGGACGUAUUACAAAAUAAUCAACCAAUCAUAUUCUUUUUUUUUUACACAUCAGAUGGGCCUCAACGUGUGGGCUUCGUCCUACUUCUGCUGUUCACGUUUGAGCUUGGUCUAGCAACUCUUUUCAGCUCCGGGUCCGUUAUCCCCGAAGACUUCGACCUCUCUAUCGACUUCCCCUUCUUGAUAUCGUAUAGGUUGUUCUUUGUCGCCGUCGCGUGUGAGGCGCUGUAGCUCCUGAAGUCUCCGGCUCUUGGACCCCCGUCGUAAGGCUGGAUCUGCAUCCCUCCGUCUCCAUACGGUGUUCAAACCAGGUUGACUUCUACAUAAUACCAAAUACAUCUAUUCCAAUAUCUAUCUCCCUCUUCACAUCUCCUUCCGCUCCUCUCUACUCCAAUGAACCAUGCCGUGUCUGCAUCUAUCGGACUUGCACCUUCGGUCUCUGUAUCGUGUUCCAUUUGCUAUGUAUUGGUUUCUCAUCAGUUUUAUUUUCUGAUUGUUUUGUGUUUUGAUUCUUCUGUAGAGAAACGAAAAGCAGGAUCUGAAGAAGCUGUGGUGUGGUGUGGAGAUGUCAAAGGA